This 76-nucleotide transfer RNA is filed under the name Micromonosporaceae bacterium. RNAcentral's name for it is "tRNA-Thr". It matches the Rfam family "tRNA". From Rfam's summary of the family: Transfer RNA (tRNA) molecules are approximately 80 nucleotides in length. Their secondary structure includes four short double-helical elements and three loops (D, anti-codon, and T loops). Lineage: Bacteria; Bacillati; Actinomycetota; Actinomycetes; Micromonosporales; Micromonosporaceae. The record is from RNAcentral.
GCCCGGCUAGCUCAAUUGGCAGAGCAUUCGCCUUGUAAGCGAAAGGUUAGGGGUUCAAGUCCCCUGCUGGGCUCCA